Molecule: transfer RNA, 88 nt
Filed under: Caudoviricetes sp.
Lineage: Duplodnaviria; Heunggongvirae; Uroviricota; Caudoviricetes
Description: tRNA-Ser
Rfam family: tRNA
About the family: Transfer RNA (tRNA) molecules are approximately 80 nucleotides in length. Their secondary structure includes four short double-helical elements and three loops (D, anti-codon, and T loops).
Source: RNAcentral
GGAGGAUUAAGCAUAACUGGUACUGCGGCGGUCUUGAAAACCGUUCACGUGAAAGCGUGUGAGAGUUCGAGUCUCUCAUCUUCCGCCA